AGUGAACGCUGGCGGUAGGCCUAACACAUGCAAGUCGAACGGCAGCACAGUAAGAGUUUGCUCUUACGGGUGGCGAGUGGCGGACGGGUGAGGAAUACAUCGGAAUCUACUUUUUCGUGGGGGAUAACGUAGGGAAACUUACGCUAAUACCGCAUACGAUCUACGGGUGAAAGCAGUGGAUCUUCGGACCUUGCGCGAUUGAAUGAGCCGAUGUCGGAUUAGCUAGUUGGCGGGGUAAAGGCCCACCAAGGCGACGAUCCGUAGCUGGUCUGAGAGGAUGAUCAGCCACACUGGAACUGAGACACGGUCCAGACUCCUACGGGAGGCAGCAGUGGGGAAUAUUGGACAAUGGGCGCAAGCCUGAUCCAGCCAUACCGCGUGGGUGAAGAAGGCCUUCGGGUUGUAAAGCCCUUUUGUUGGGAAAGAAAAGCAGCAGGUUAAUACCCCGCUGUUCUGACGGUACCCAAAGAAUAAGCACCGGCUAACUUCGUG
This 492-nucleotide ribosomal RNA is filed under the name uncultured bacterium. Its description in RNAcentral is "partial 16S ribosomal RNA". It matches the Rfam family "Bacterial small subunit ribosomal RNA", at positions 29 to 507 of the family's 1533-position model. The record is from RNAcentral.